RNAcentral lists this long non-coding RNA (227 nucleotides) under Trifolium pratense (red clover). Its description in RNAcentral is "long non-coding RNA (TPRA_LNC009825)". Lineage: Eukaryota; Viridiplantae; Streptophyta; Magnoliopsida; Fabales; Fabaceae. The record is from RNAcentral.
GAUGCCAAGGAAAAAAUGUUAAAUAUUGGCAUUGAUCAGGAUCUGAGAUAUUAAAUCCUUCAGACCUGAUCAAUCUCAGACUCAAGUUUUAAUAUCUCAGAUCGGUGCAAGAGAUUAAUGCCGAGAUUUAACAUUUUUUGUUUGAGAUCAUCAUCUGAAUCAAUAGCUUCGCAUGUCAGUAGAAGCUUAUUAACAUGAGAAAUCAGUUCAGUCUUCCCAUUACAGCU